RNAcentral lists this ribosomal RNA (127 nucleotides) under uncultured bacterium. RNAcentral's name for it is "partial 16S ribosomal RNA". It matches the Rfam family "Bacterial small subunit ribosomal RNA", at positions 344 to 488 of the family's 1533-position model. The record is from RNAcentral.
GGAGGCAGCAGUGGGGAAUCUUGCACAAUGGAGGAAACUCUGAUGCAGCGAUGCCGCGUGAGUGAAGAAGGCCCUUGGGUUGUAAAGCUCUUUCGUCGGGGAAGAAAAUGACUGUACCCGAAUAAGA